CGGGGCGAAAAUUUAAAUUCUUUGAACCGUUCACACACCGACCCAGGCUUUAUAACCUUGUCUCCCCAUCAUCAACUAACGAAUUAAUUAAUAUUUUUCUUUUUUUAUAAAUAUUUUAUUCGCUAGCGUAAUAUACCACCACCUGUGCUCUCCAUUUACUUCUCCUUCGCAUCAACCAGAAAACCAGAAUUUUCCCACACAAACACAAAGCGUUCUGGUUCUGCGUCUUCUUCACGCUGUUCGAGGCGGCAUCUCUGAAUCCGGAUCCUAACUGUUUCGACCGGGCCUAUUCUUCGCUUCUCCAGAUCUGCUUCAGGUAACCUUCUCAAUCUCUCAAUUUCUUGCGCUUUUUGUAAUUUUAUUUAAUUGUUUUUUGUUUUUUAUUUAUUGGUAUACUUGUUUGUAUUCGUAUAAGUAUAUUAUAAGUAGGUUUAGCUUUCCGCUUAGAUCUAUGGCUGGGUACUGAAGGUUGUUUCAUGGUAGAGUUAGUAUUGUUUAUGGCCUCUAUUAUGCGCUUUUGUGUUUUUCCUAGGAAAUUUUAUGUUCAGUUCUCUGAUCUGCGCUUGCUGAAGGCUUCAUAUGAUCUUGUUAUGUUUAAUUAUGUUUGUGAUUAGCCAUUUCUGCAUGUCUGUUAAUGGAUCUGCUGCUUGAGAGUUGAAUGUGAAUAAUUAUUUUCUUUUGGAACUUAAAUCAUAAAUAAAUUUUCACGUUAUUUUAUUUAGUUACAAAUUCUUCCCAGUAAGAUUAAUAGUAAGAGUUGAUUUCCUAUAGAUUUGAUUUUAAUUUGCUUGUAGGUUAACUUAGAUCGAGCACUGAUUCAAAGAUCUGCUUAAUUUAGAAGCUUUCUCAUUGAUGUCGAAAAUGAGGAUGCCCACUUUGUACUGGGCUUCCAUUUUGGUUUUUCUUUUUGUCCAUGCUUGCAAUGCGUUUUAUCUGCCUGGUAGCUAUAUGCACACAUAUUCAACCGGUGAACCGAUAUUUUCCAAAGUUAAUUCAUUAACUUCUAUUGAAACCGAGCUUCCAUUUAGUUACUAUAGUCUACCUUAUUGCAAGCCAACAAGUGGAAUAAAAAAAAGUGCUGAGAAUCUCGGGGAACUCCUUAUGGGAGAUCAGAUUGAUAACUCUCCUUACCGGUUUAGAAUGAAUAUCAAUGAGUCUGUCUUCCUUUGUACUACACCUACAUUAAGUGAGCAUGAGGUAAAGCUUUUGAAGCAGAGAACCCGUGAUCUGUAUCAAGUGAAUAUGAUUUUAGAUAAUUUACCCGCCAUGAGGUAUGCAAAGCAAAAUGGAGUUAACAUUCAGUGGACUGGGUUCCCAGUCGGGUAUACACCACAGAAUAGCAAUGAUGAUUACAUCAUCAAUCACCUUAAGUUCACAGUUUUGGUUCAUGAGUAUGAAGGGAGUGGUGUGGAGAUAAUUGGUACUGGGGAAGAAGGUAUGGGUGUGAUUUCUGAAGCCGAUAAGAAGAAGGCAUCUGGUUAUGAGAUAGUUGGUUUUGAGGUUGUCCCAUGCAGUGUUAAAUAUGAUCCUGAAGUGAUGUCUAAGCUUCAUAUGUACGACAAUAUCUCAUCUGUCAACUGCCCCUUGGACCUUGACAAGUCUCAGAUCAUAAGGGAGCACGAGAGGGUUUCUUUCACUUAUGAGGUUGAAUUUGUGAAAAGUGAUAUUAGAUGGCCAUCUCGUUGGGAUGCUUAUUUGAAGAUGGAAGGUGCUCGUGUCCAUUGGUUCUCUAUUCUAAAUUCUCUUAUGGUGAUCUUUUUCCUAGCUGGCAUUGUUUUUGUCAUUUUCUUAAGGACUGUGAGAAGGGAUUUGACGAGAUAUGAGGAAUUGGACAAAGAAGCUCAAGCGCAGAUGAAUGAGGAGCUUUCGGGGUGGAAGCUUGUUGUUGGUGACGUGUUCAGGGAACCAGAUUGCUCCAAGCUUCUUUGUGUCAUGGUUGGUGAUGGAGUUCAGAUUACGGGGAUGGCAGUGGUCACAAUUGUUUUUGCAGCCCUUGGUUUCAUGUCACCAGCUUCACGAGGAAUGCUGCUGACAGGAAUGAUAAUCCUUUAUCUUUUCUUGGGUAUUGCUGCAGGCUAUGUUUCAGUACGUUUGUGGAGAAUCCUGAAGGGAACCUCAGAAGGAUGGAGGUCAGUUUCCUGGUCAUCUGCAUGCUUCUUCCCUGGAAUUGCUUUUGUUAUCCUCACGGUGUUGAAUUUCAUUCUGUGGGGAAGCAAGAGUACUGGUGCUAUUCCAAUUUCCUUGUAUUUUGUACUUCUGGCCCUGUGGUUCUGUAUUUCAGUGCCACUCACCCUCUUGGGAGGAUUCUUUGGGACACGAGCUGAGGCAAUUGAGUAUCCAGUCCGAACCAACCAGAUCCCAAGGGAAAUUCCGGCUCGCAAAUACCCAUCAUGGCUUCUUGUUCUUGGUGCUGGAACUCUUCCAUUUGGAACCCUUUUCAUCGAGCUGUUCUUCAUCCUUUCUAGCAUCUGGCUUGGACGGUUUUAUUAUGUCUUUGGUUUCUUGCUCAUAGUUCUUCUGCUGUUGGUUAUUGUUUGUGCUGAAGUGUCAGUGGUUCUAACUUACAUGCAUCUCUGUGUGGAGGACUGGCGUUGGUGGUGGAAGGCAUUCUUUGCUUCCGGUUCUGUUGCUCUCUAUGUGUUCUUAUACUCCAUCAAUUAUUUGGUUUUUGACCUGCAGAGUUUGAGUGGACCUGUGUCAGCUAUACUCUAUCUCGGCUACUCACUGCUCAUGGCAAUUGCAAUCAUGUUGUCUACUGGCACAAUUGGCUUCCUUAUGUCCUUCUACUUUGUGCAUUACCUUUUCUCAUCUGUAAAGAUUGAUUAGAAGCCAUGAACAUCUUCAGCAAUCAGUUGAGAAGGAAAACUACUCGCUCACAAUGCACAUUGUUUUUUGCAUUUGCUAAAUUUUUUAUGAUAGCUGAUCUUGUUGUGCUGUAUUAAAGACUCUCAGAUUAUAUGCUAAAAAUGCAUCAAGGCGUGUUAAAUUUUCUAUGCUUUUGAGUUUAGGACAUGACAUUAGUUUUCAGCUUCACUCGAAAUUAUAGAAACUGGUGGCCCUUCUGUUAUGUAUUAUUUUUUGUUAUUUCUUCCAUUUUAUCAUUGAAAAAAAGAAACAGUUAAUUGACAUUUUUUCCCUCAAUCAUUCAAUGCUGUCAACAUUACUGAUUCAUUGUUGGCAUAUAUUGUGUAGUUGCCAAGAUGAUGUAACGAGCAUUUGAGGUGAUUAGAUUAAAGGCCAACAUUUUUAUUCCUGAA
RNAcentral lists this unclassified non-coding RNA (3257 nucleotides) under Hevea brasiliensis (rubber tree). Lineage: Eukaryota; Viridiplantae; Streptophyta; Magnoliopsida; Malpighiales; Euphorbiaceae. The record is from RNAcentral.